AUGCUUCAGAGGGCCUAUAGACA
Molecule: non-coding RNA, 23 nt
Filed under: Cricetulus griseus (Chinese hamster)
Lineage: Eukaryota; Metazoa; Chordata; Mammalia; Rodentia; Cricetidae
Source: RNAcentral